CCGCCUCGGUUAACGAAUUAAUGGAGGCGGGCCAUUUAGAAUAUCCGCCUCAGUUAAUCGAUAAAAAACAAAAAAAAAUGAGCCCAACAGUGAGCCUAUUCCCGAGCCCACCGGUGAGCCUGUUGCUAGCCCAGUAGCUGGAUCUGGCGCUCAUCUGGGCCUCGUGCCGCCCGUCUUCGAUCCACCACCCUAGCGCCGCCAGGAAGAGGGGGGCGGGGCUACAUGCCGCGCCGUGAAGGACGAGGAGGGCACGCAACCACCCAUCCACAUGCCCCGACGCCGCCGUUGCUCCCAAGCUGCUGCAGCCGUAGGUCAUAAAUCUGCGAAGGAGGAGGAUGUGAGGGAUGGAUCCAACUAGA
Molecule: long non-coding RNA, 359 nt
Filed under: Sorghum bicolor (sorghum)
Lineage: Eukaryota; Viridiplantae; Streptophyta; Magnoliopsida; Poales; Poaceae
Description: long non-coding RNA (SBIC_LNC016389)
Source: RNAcentral